CCCGACUGCUAUUUGGGUGAGGAUAAGCCAUGCGAGUUGGAUGGGAUACCUAAAUUUCCCAUAGCAAACUGCUUAGUAACACAUGAUCAACUUGCCCUAUGGAGAAAAAUAACCUCGGGAAAGUAUCAUAGCAAUUUUAGUAAUUGAAAACUGUGAUACCCCGAAACUGAGGAUAAUGUUUCAUAGUUGAAUAGGCUUGGAAAAGCUUUUCAAUGAAAGGGAUAAGAUAAAUGGAUCUUAUUUGCCAUAGGAUAGGAUCGUGGUCGAUUAUGGUAGUUGGUGAGAUAACGGCUCACCAAGCCGAUAAUCGAUAGGGGCCGUGAGAGCGGGAGCCCCAAGAUGGGUACUGAGACAGCGACCCAGGCCUUACGAGGCGCAGCAGGCGCGAGACCUCCGCAAUACACGAAAGUGUGACGGGGUUACCCAAAGUGUUCUCUUAAGAACUGUGGUAGGUGAGUAAUGUCCCUCUACUAGAAAGGAGAGGGCAAGGCUGACUGGAAUGAGGAAAUUACGAUCAUUUAUAAUCCCUCUUCUAGGCCUAAGUGCCAGCCGCCGCGGUAAAACCAGCUCUUCAAGUGGUCGGGAUAAUUAUUGGGCUUAAAGUGUCCGUAGCCGGUUUAGUAAGUUCCUGGUAAAAUCGGGUAGCUUAACUAUCUGCAUGCUAGGAAUACAUCUAUACUAGAGGGCGGGAGAGGUCUGAGGUACUACAGGGGUAGGGGUGAAAUCUUAUAAUCCUUGUAGGACCACCAGUGGCGAAGGCGUCAGACUGGAACGCGCCUGACGGUGAGGGACGAAAGCCAGGGGAGCGAACCGGAUUAGAUACCCGGGUAGUCCUGGCCGUAAACGAUGCAUACUAGGUGAUGGUACGGCCAUGAGCCGUAUCAGUGCCGUAGGGAAACCGUUAAGUGUGCCGCCUGGGAAGUACGGUCGCAAGGCUAAAACUUAAAGGAAUUGGCGGGGGAGCACCACAAGGGGUGAAGCCUGCGGUUC
This 990-nucleotide ribosomal RNA is filed under the name uncultured euryarchaeote. RNAcentral describes it as "bacterial SSU rRNA". It matches the Rfam family "Archaeal small subunit ribosomal RNA", at positions 21 to 903 of the family's 1478-position model. Lineage: Archaea; Methanobacteriati; Methanobacteriota. The record is from RNAcentral.